Nicotiana attenuata is the source of this 197-nucleotide long non-coding RNA. RefSeq lists it as uncharacterized. The transcript is spliced from 3 exons. The record is from RefSeq and is a predicted model, not a curated record. Lineage: Eukaryota; Viridiplantae; Streptophyta; Magnoliopsida; Solanales; Solanaceae.
UAUUGAUCGGGAGCUGACUUCAGUCCAGGGACUUACGAGGAAAAGUUAAAAGGGGGACCAGUGUCUCAUGCUGAGGUCUUUGCAGAGACACAUAAGAAAAAGAAGAAAGACGAUUCAAGAGAAGGAUGGGUUGAGACACGUGCAUCGGAAUAAUAUGAGUGAUUCCGAGCUAUGUACAUGUUAUGGAAUGAAUUCAA